GUCUAAGGCCAUACCACCUUGAAUACGUCCGAUCUCAUCUGAUCUCAGAAGCUAAGCAGGGCCGGGGCUGGUUAGUACUUGGAUGGGAGACAGAAAGAGAUCCCACCACAACCAUAAACA
Molecule: ribosomal RNA, 120 nt
Organism: Cricetulus griseus (Chinese hamster)
Lineage: Eukaryota; Metazoa; Chordata; Mammalia; Rodentia; Cricetidae
Source: Ensembl